RNAcentral lists this ribosomal RNA (882 nucleotides) under uncultured Candidatus Saccharibacteria bacterium. RNAcentral's name for it is "bacterial SSU rRNA". It matches the Rfam family "Bacterial small subunit ribosomal RNA", at positions 571 to 1482 of the family's 1533-position model. Lineage: Bacteria; Candidatus Saccharimonadota. The record is from RNAcentral.
GUAGGCGGUUUACCAAGCAAGGCAUGAAAUAGUGUGGCUCAACCAUACUGCUAUGUUUUGAACUGGUAGACUAGAGGAUGAGAGAGGUUAUUGGAAUUCCAAGUGUAGGAGUGAAAUCCGUAGAUAUUUGGAGGAACACCGAUGGCGUAGGCAGAUAACUGGCUCAUUCCUGACGCUCAGGCACGAAAGCGUGGGUAGCAAACGGGAUUAGAUACCCCGGUAGUCCACGCCGUAAACUAUGGAUGCUAGCUGUACACCGUAUCGACCCGGUGUGUAGCGAAGCUAACGCGUUAAGCAUCCCGCCUGUGGAGUACGAGCGCAAGCUUAAAACAUAAAGGAAUUGACGGGGACCCGCACAAGCGGUGGAGCGUGUUGUUUAAUUCGAUGGUAAGCGAAGAACCUUACCAAGGCUUGAAAUCCUGAGAAGCACUGCGAAAGCAGAGUGUGCCUUCGGGAACUCAGUGACAGGUGUUGCAUGGCCGUCGUCAGCUCGUGUCGUGAGAUGUUGGGUUAAGUCCCGCAACGAGCGCAACCCCUAUGUUUAGUUGAAUUUUUCUAAACAGACUGCCCUGGUAACAGGGAGGAAGGAGGGGAUGAUGUCAGGUCAGUAUUACCCUUACGCCUUGGGCUACAAACACGCUACAAUGGCCAGUACAAAGGGUAGCCAAGUCGCGAGACGGAGCAAGUCCCAUCAAAACUGGUCUCAGUUCGGAUAGCAGGCUGAAACUCGCCUGCUUGAAGCUGGAAUCGCUAGUAAUGGUAAGUCAGCACAUUACCGUGAAUACGUUCCCGGGUCUUGUACACACCGCCCGUCAAACCAUGAAAGUGGCCAACACCCGAAGUCCGAUUUAUCGGCCUAAGGUGGGGGACAUGAUUGGGGUU